This is an RNA transcript of Dioscorea cayenensis subsp. rotundata (Guinea yam), 4127 nucleotides long. It is a transcript of the gene named eukaryotic peptide chain release factor GTP-binding subunit ERF3A-like, with no coding region annotated. The record is from RefSeq and is a predicted model, not a curated record. The transcript is spliced from 20 exons. NCBI's taxonomy places the organism in Eukaryota, Viridiplantae, Streptophyta, Magnoliopsida, Dioscoreales, Dioscoreaceae.
AAAUAUCCUGCGGUUCAACGAAAGACACGUGUCAAUAAGGACACAUCCACCCUUUAUAAAGCCUGGAAGGAUUCGCUCCUUCUCCAAAGCUUUGCUUCAAGUGACACCCAUUGCUUUCGUAAACGAAGAACACCGACUUCGAUUUCGCCGUUGUCGCUGGAGAGGUUGAAAGUUGAAACCCUAAGGUUCCAAUCCGAAGGUGCCCACCGCCGCCACAGAGGCGAUGCGGAGGACGUGAAGAUGGAUCAUGCUACGCACCCUCCACCCGACGAUGAGGAGAUUCAGGACUGGAACGGGAACUGUGACGAACCCAUGGAGGUCGCUCCACCUGAGACCGCUGCUCCUCUUCCAGCUGCUUCCGAAGAUAGCAACCAGGGGAUUGAGUCAAGGCUUGAGUCAUUACAGUUGGAAACCAAAGGAACUCAUGUGAAAGAUAAAGUUGGUGUUGUGCCCGAGGAAGUUGAAGAUUUUAAUGACCAUGAAGAAGAUAAGAAAAGACACUUGAAUGUUGUUUUUAUUGGUCAUGUCGAUGCAGGUAAAUCGACAACUGGAGGGCAGAUACUUUUCCUUAGUGGUCAGGUUGAUGACCGAACUAUUCAAAAGUAUGAGAAAGAAGCAAAGGAUAAAAGUCGUGAAAGCUGGUACAUGGCAUAUAUUAUGGACACAAGUGAGGAAGAGCGUGUGAAGGGAAAAACUGUUGAGGUUGGCAGAGCUCAUUUUGAGACAGAAAACACAAGAUUUACAAUUUUGGAUGCUCCGGGGCAUAAAAGCUAUGUGCCAAAUAUGAUUAGUGGUGCUUCUCAAGCUGAUGUUGGUGUUCUUGUGAUAUCUGCCCGAAAGGGUGAAUUUGAAACUGGAUACGAAAAAGGAGGACAAACACGUGAGCAUGUCCAACUUGCAAAGACAUUGGGUGUUUCUAAGUUGGUUGUGGUUGUGAACAAAAUGGAUGAGCCAACAGUUCAAUGGUCCAAAGACAGGUUUGGUGAAAUAGAAUCGAAGAUGACACCUUUCCUGAAAUCUUCAGGCUAUAAUGUCAAGAAAGAUGUUCAGUUUCUUCCCAUAUCUGGUUUGGCGGGCAUCAACAUGAAGACAAGAGUGGACAAGAGCAUUUGCAGUUGGUGGAAUGGACCAUGUCUUUUUGAAGUCUUGGAUUCUGUCGAAGUUCCCUUACGGGAUCCUAAAGGUCCUGUUAGGAUGCCGAUUAUCGAUAAGUACAAAGAUAUUGGAACAGUUGUGAUGGGGAAAAUAGAGUCGGGAACUAUAUAUGAAGGCGAUAGCUUGUUGGUCAUGCCCAACAAAGCCAAUGUGAAAGUGUUGUCUGUGCAGUGUGAUGAAAACAAAGUAAAGCAGGCUGGACCUGGUGAAAAUGUGAGGGUAAAACUGGCAGGAGUUGAAGAAGAUGAUAUAUUAGCUGGUUUUGUUCUUUCAAGUUUUGCAAAUUCAGUUGGUGCCGUCUCUGAAUUUAAUGCACAGUUGCAGAUUCUUGAAUUACUGGACAAUGCAAUAUUAAGUGCUGGUUACAAGGCAGUAUUGCACAUACAUGCAAUUGUUGAGGAAUGUGAGAUUACUGAUCUUAUAGAAGAAAUUGAUCUGAAGAAAAAGAAAGAGACAGAUACGAAGAAAAAGAAACAAAAAGGAAAGCCCCGUUUUGUUAAGAACGGUGCUGUUGUUUUGUGCCGUAUUCAGGUGACCAACUUAGUAUGCAUCGAGAAUUUCUCUGUUUUCCCCCAGCUUGGGAGGUUUACUCUUCGUUCUGAAGGAAAGACAAUUGCAAUAGGAAAAGUAGUUGAACUUCCUCCAGCUGGGAGCUCAACAUUCCCUUCAGCUUGAACAAUUUUGUUAUGAAUGGAAGAUAGGCUGUGUGUAUAGUUCAGAAGAGACUAUAUUGCUCGAAUAUGCUGUGUAUCGAACAGAUGCAUCCAGUUCAGAGUUGUUAAGCCUUGGCAGAUGCAUUUGAUGGAAUCUAAUCCCAUGGCAGCAUCAUAUAGAUUACUUAUGGAAUCAUAUACUACAUGACCUUUUUCCCAUGCAUGGAUGGGUCUCUAGUCCUUUGCGUUGACAAGGGAUGAUGAUGGUGAUGAUGACAUUAAACCGAAAAUUAUUACCGCAAUAGGCUGGUGGCAGUAGGUGGCGGUAGUGUUAUUAAUUUUUAUGUGACAUUGGUGGAGGGGUUGAGCCAUUCUCCUAGUGUUUGCCCACUUAAUAACUCUGUUACAACCCAUGCGUUCUCCGGCGGGAGGAGACAUGCACCGAGGAACCUUAAAACAAAGGGAUGGCGUUGUCGUGAGAGUGUCUCGAGUUCUUGAGCAAACCAAGCUUCGCCUCCUUCAUUUGGUUCAAAGUACUGAGGAUUUAUCCAUUUAACUGCGACAUCAAGGCCACGCCAAUUUCCUCGGGAUUUCAGCAUGAACAUAUCUGUUAGUUCUCAGAGAAAAAAUUUUCAAGCAUUUCCAUACCUCAUGAGGUUCAAUGGACCAUCCAUUGUGGAUUGCUUGACAUGUAAUGGCAGCUAAAUGAGGAUCAUUAACAGUUGCAGAAACUCUUGGUCUGAUCUCAGGACUAAGAGAAUAGUUUUGCUGAUCAAUAGCAGAAACUCGAUCCAAAAAUCCAUUAUCUCGGGCAAUUUCCAAGCAAUGCAUUAGGUAAUCUUGCAUUCUAUCAAGCUGACAUUUGUAAGAAACCUUGAGUUCUGUUUGUCGUCGUACUUCCUCCUCAAGCUCCGCAAUCUUGCACAAACAAUAGAAGGAAAACGAAAAUUCAAAAAUUUUAUAAAUUAAUUAUAUGAAGUGCUAACAGGCGUACCUGUUGUUGAAGUUUAGGCUUAGGCAAAGACCAUGUUUCAGAGAUAAUAGAAUAGAUGUUCGAAAUGCUUUGACGACAUCCGGUUUUCUGCUGUAGUUCUUCCUGUUGUAUAAUCGGAGAUCGAACUUUUAGUGACUUUCUUUGGUUUACUUGCUGUUCUUCUUGCUCACUGCUCAUUGUUCUUCAGUUUAACUUUGUUAGAAAUGAAUCAAAGAGAAGAAAAGGAGGAAAAGAACGAAGUUAGCCAAGUGUUUUUAUACUGAAUUUCUUGUUAUUUUUGUUCUAUGAGGAAACUGAUUAAUUUGUUGGUUAGUGAAGGAAAAUGACUAAUUAGACGAUUAAUUCAAUGAGAUUAAUAAGAUAAGUUGUGUUCUUGUUUUUUGGGAUGGUUUAUAAACGAAGAUAUUCAUGAGAAUGCAGGCCAUGUACGAAUCUCUGACUAUUGUUUAAUUGGUUGCAUAGUGAGAGUCAUUUGGGAGCUGAUUCUUAUGAUUUUUUAAUAUUUUAGUAGCUGAUAUUUCUAAGUAAUUGAUAAAUAGUUAAUAGUUUCACAUUAGUUAAUUAAGUACUGGUAAAUUAAUGUUUUUUUUGUAGUCACACUGCACAUGGAUAAAGUCACGAGUUUACUCAACUCCUUGCUGUUGCAAGGUGAGGGUGUGAUAUAAUUAAAAAGUCAAUGUACACUUUGACACGUGACUUGUUUAUAUUUAUAAAACUUAAAAUUAAAUUAAAUUAAAAUAAAACUACCCGUAAGUUACUAUAUAUUUUUAAUUUACUGAUCAAAUCAGUUUGUGAAAAACCUAUUAUGUGUAACAAUAGAAAGGAUGUUUUAACAAGUCAAAGUUACCAAGCAUUCAAAGAGGCCCAUUGAGAUUUUAUUUUGUUAAUUGUUGUAAUAUAAAAGAAAUUUGAAGAAUUUUGUCGGAUGGAGGAUGGAAGCAGGUUAAUUGUGACAAAGAUGACAACCAUUGGAUACUUCUUUGGAAAGUCAUCCGAAUGGUAGAUGAGAGGUGUAAGUUAAAAAUUACGCACUGUGUAAUAUUGUGCAAAAAUAUUAUGAAUAUGUUGUAUAGUAUUAUUUAUUAAAUCUUUGUGAAUCCUAAGUUAGGAGAAUUUAUCAUAAUUGAGUUAUAGUUCUUGAUAUAUUAUUUUGAAUUCAUGUGACAAAUUAUCGUUACUCUUUAUGUUAUCUGUAACACUGUAUCUUUCUUUUGGAGGGGAUGUGAUCUUUGUAAAAGUUAAAUAUUUGAGAGAUUUUGUUGGAUUUGGGCAAGCUUGAUCAAUUAGAGUGGAUUAACUAAAAUAAAACUACACUAAUGUCAACA